This 450-nucleotide ribosomal RNA is filed under the name Hypognatha sp. 224 DD-2019. RNAcentral describes it as "partial 16S large subunit ribosomal RNA". It matches the Rfam family "Bacterial large subunit ribosomal RNA", at positions 1830 to 2601 of the family's 2925-position model. Lineage: Eukaryota; Metazoa; Arthropoda; Arachnida; Araneae; Araneidae. The record is from RNAcentral.
UUCUUAUUGAGCUUAAUAAUAAGUAUAACCUGCUCCAUGAUAUAUUAAAUAGCCGCAGAAAUUUAACUGUGCUAAGGUAGCAUAAUCAUUAGCCUUUUAAUUAAAGGCCUGUAUGAAUGGUAUAACAUUUCAAUUACUUUACUGGAUAAAUUUAUUUAACUUAAAUUAAGAAUAAAAAUGUUCUUAUUAUUAAAAAAGACGAUAAGACCCUUUUGAACUUUACUACUGUUUAGCUGGGGCAGCUAAAAAAAUAUUAUCUUUUUUGUGGUAUUUACAUAUAUGACCCAAUUUAAUUGAGUGCGAGAAUAAGUUACCAUAGGGAUAACAGCGUAAUAUUUUUUAAAAGUUCUUAUUUAAAAAAAAGAUUGCGACCUCGAUGUUGAAUUAAUGUCACCUUAUACGACGCAGUAGUCUUAAAGGUUAGUCUGUUCGACUAUUAAAACAUUACAU